RNAcentral lists this RNase P RNA (436 nucleotides) under Verrucomicrobiaceae bacterium SCGC AG-212-N21. Its description in RNAcentral is "Bacterial RNase P class A". It matches the Rfam family "Bacterial RNase P class A". From Rfam's summary of the family: Ribonuclease P (RNase P) is a ubiquitous endoribonuclease, found in archaea, bacteria and eukarya as well as chloroplasts and mitochondria. Its best characterised activity is the generation of mature 5'-ends of tRNAs by cleaving the 5'-leader elements of precursor-tRNAs. Lineage: Bacteria; Pseudomonadati; Verrucomicrobiota; Verrucomicrobiia; Verrucomicrobiales; Verrucomicrobiaceae. The record is from Rfam by way of RNAcentral.
GGUCGGCCGGGGGCAUUCGCUGCGGGGAGUCGCAAGACAUCCCGGAGAGGAAAGUCCGGACACCACAAGGCAGCGUGCCGCGCGCAAGCGUGGAGGCUGGAAGCGCAAGCGACCGGUCAUGGAAAGUGUCACAGAAAACAUACCGCCCUUCCGAGCUUCGGCGCGGAGGGGUAAGGGUGAAAAGGCGGGGUAAGAGCCCACCGGCCCGAGAGUGAUCGAGGGCGCACGACAAACCCUGCGCGGUGCAAGACAGAACAGGAGAAAGGCCCGCCUGGCCGCAAGUCCCGUCCCGCAAGGGCCAGGAUGGAUGUCUCCGGGUAUUAGUCGCACCUCGCGCAAGCGGGGCGCGCGUCUCGCAAGAGGCGCGUCGAGAGAAAUGAAAGCCACCUGCGAGCAAUCGCAGGCACAGAAUCCGGCUUACACCGGCCGACCCAAC